UCCCUGGCAGUCCAGUGGUUAAGACUCUACCCUUCCAAUGUAGGGGGCGAAGGUUCAAUUCCUGGUCAGGGAA
RNAcentral lists this transfer RNA (73 nucleotides) under Bos taurus (domestic cattle). It matches the Rfam family "tRNA". Rfam says of the family: Transfer RNA (tRNA) molecules are approximately 80 nucleotides in length. Their secondary structure includes four short double-helical elements and three loops (D, anti-codon, and T loops). Further hydrogen bonds mediate the characteristic L-shaped molecular structure. tRNAs have two regions of fundamental functional importance: the anti-codon, which is responsible for specific mRNA codon recognition, and the 3' end, to which the tRNAs corresponding amino acid is attached (by aminoacyl-tRNA synthetases). tRNAs cope with the degeneracy of the genetic code in two manners: having more than one tRNA (with a specific anti-codon) for a particular amino acid; and 'wobble' base-pairing, i.e. permitting non-standard base-pairing at the 3rd anti-codon position. The record is from Rfam by way of RNAcentral. Lineage: Eukaryota; Metazoa; Chordata; Mammalia; Artiodactyla; Bovidae. RNAcentral also lists the same sequence under 1 other name.